GGGAUAGACACAUCUUCUAUUUCAGAGGCUGACAAGCAGCGAAACAAAACAUCGCGGAGGACAGGCUGCAAUGCAAGAAUGAGGGUGAAGGUGUAGGAGGAUAACACAUGCGUGGCAGUGGACAUUGAGUACAAUCAUAAUCACAAACUCAUGCAAACUGAUGACAUGCUGGUUUUCUUGCACUCACACAAGAAUUAUGACCCCACUAUUUUGGAGUACGUAAAACUCCUGCAGUACCAUGAUGUCAAGCACACAACAAUCAUGUCUAUGCUAUCUGAAAAUGAAGAUGGAAGCUACUUCCUAAGCAUGACUGGACGAGACUUACUAAACCAGAAAGCCAUGAAUGCAAGGAAAGAUGAUUUGGAUGAUGUGUUGAAACCCGUUUCAUUCUUCAAGGACAUGAAGGCAAUCAAUGAUGAGUUUUUCUAUGACAUACAAUCCAAUGCAAGUUGUCGAGGAGCGUAUCAAGACUUUGGCGAUUGCGUAACCUUUGACACAACUUACAAAACCAACAGAUUUCAUAUGCCUCUGGGAGUGUUUGUUGGAAGAAACCAUCACUUGCAGUCAACAAUAUUUGCUGUUGCCCUUAUCAGAGACGAAGAUGCAAAAUCAUUCAAGUGGCUGUUUUAUACAUUUGUACGGUGCAUGAACAACAAGAACCCAACUUGCAUUAUAACAGACCAUUGCCCAUCGAUGGCGAAAGCUAUAGCACAAUCAUUCCCAAACACCGUCCACAAGCUAUGCUGUUGGCACAUCCUGAAGAAGUACAAGGAAUACCUCGCGUUGCUGUACAAAAAGUACAAAACAUUCAAAGAGGAGUUCACAGCUAUAUUAAACUGGCCGCUGAUGCCAACGGAGUUUGAAACUGCCUGGGCUGAACUCGUGCACAGGUACAAUCUGGAGAACGACCAGAUGAUGAUGCAGCUCUGGAAUGAUAGGAAAAUGUGGAUUUGAGCAUAUUAGAAGAACAUUUUCUGUGCCAGAAUGACUUCCACACAACAAAGCGAGAGCAUGAACCACGUGCUAAAGAGAGGGUUUGUCAGGGGGACCCAGAACCUACACAAGUUUGCUAGGCGGGUAAAUGCUUGCAUACAAACUCGGAUACAAAAGGAGAACGAGCAAACAAUGACCAACAUGGUAUGA
Molecule: ribosomal RNA, 1143 nt
Filed under: Triticum aestivum (bread wheat)
Lineage: Eukaryota; Viridiplantae; Streptophyta; Magnoliopsida; Poales; Poaceae
Description: partial small subunit ribosomal RNA
Source: RNAcentral